AUGACGGAGUACAUGCGGUUCCGCUUCGUGUGCUCGCACUGGCGCGCGUCGACGGUCAGCCCGCGGGACGCCACGCUGGCCGCCCGCCGCUUCCACCCGCGUGGCUGGGUCGCCCUCUGCGACGGCAACGGCGUCCGCCCGGUCGAAGACGCCGCGAUCACCUUCUUCCACACGGCCACCAGCAGGGUUUCCAGGCUCUCCCUGCCGGGGCUCCGGCGGCACCGGAUCGUCGGCUUCACUGACGGCCUCCUAAUCGUGCUUGACACGCGCGCCGCAGUCAUCCGUGUUGUCCACCCCUUCACCCGCGUCGUCGUCGAGCUGCCCCACCUGGCCACCUUCAUCCACUGUGUGCUCAGCAAGCAGGAAUCGUUCACCAUGGACUCGUUCGUCUGGAUGAACGCCACGGUGUGUGUCGCCGGCCCCAGCUCCAUUGCCGUCGUGAUCUGGUUCCCCAACAUGCCCUUGGUGAUCUGCGCUCAGCCCGGUGACAAGGGCUGGAAGAUCAUCCACACCAAUAUCCAAUUCUCCAACACUUUGCCGUUCAACGGCGGGCUAUACGGUGUGACGCGAGCUGGGAGGCAGCUGGUGCAGGUGUAUCCAGUUCAUCAUGAUCCGCAUGCCAAUCUGGUGGUGGCCGAGGUGCCAAAAGAGCUUGGUUAUGCUGAGAGCUACCUCUACUACCUUGUGGAGUCCAUGGGAGCCAUGCUUGUCGCCGUCGGGAGCUCGUGCGGGUGA
RNAcentral lists this ribosomal RNA (735 nucleotides) under Triticum aestivum (bread wheat). RNAcentral describes it as "partial small subunit ribosomal RNA". Lineage: Eukaryota; Viridiplantae; Streptophyta; Magnoliopsida; Poales; Poaceae. The record is from RNAcentral.